ACGAACGCUGGCGGCAGGCUUAACACAUGCAAGUCGAGCGCCCCGCAAGGGGAGCGGCAGACGGGUGAGUAACACGUGGGAACGUACCCUUUUCUACGGAAUAACCCAGGGAAACUUGGACUAAUACCGUAUGUGCCCUUCGGGGGAAAGAUUUAUCGGAAAAGGAUCGGCCCGCGUUGGAUUAGCUAGUUGGUGGGGUAAAGGCCUACCAAGGCGACGAUCCAUAGCUGGUCUGAGAGGAUGAUCAGCAACAUUGGGACUGAGACACGGCCCAAACUCCUACGGGAGGCAGCAGUGGGGAAUAUUGGACAAUGGGCGCAAGCCUGAUCCAGCCAUGCCGCGUGAGUGAUGAAGGCCUUAGGGUUGUAAAGCUCUUUCACCGGAGAAGAUAAUGACGGUAUCCGGAGAAGAAGCCCCGGCUAACUUCGU
This 429-nucleotide ribosomal RNA is filed under the name uncultured bacterium. RNAcentral describes it as "bacterial SSU rRNA". It matches the Rfam family "Bacterial small subunit ribosomal RNA", at positions 29 to 506 of the family's 1533-position model. The record is from RNAcentral.